This is a non-coding RNA of Mycena capillaripes, 90 nucleotides long. NCBI's taxonomy places the organism in Eukaryota, Fungi, Basidiomycota, Agaricomycetes, Agaricales, Mycenaceae. The record is from the annotation of a GenBank genome assembly.
GGCUCGGUGGUGGAUGGUCCGCAUCUGCAACUUUUGACACAUCAAGGAGUGUUACACAGAUGGUGGCUCGUUCAAAUCGAGCCUGAGCCA